RNAcentral lists this ribosomal RNA (429 nucleotides) under Bacillota bacterium. RNAcentral's name for it is "Firmicutes bacterium partial 16S ribosomal RNA". It matches the Rfam family "Bacterial small subunit ribosomal RNA", at positions 355 to 776 of the family's 1533-position model. Lineage: Bacteria; Bacillati; Bacillota. The record is from RNAcentral.
UGGGGAAUUUUGGACAAUGGGCGAAAGCCUGAUCCAGCAAUGCCGCGUGUGUGAAGAAGGCCUUCGGGUUGUAAAGCACUUUUGUCCGGAAAGAAAUGGCUCUGGUUAAUACCUGGGGUCGAUGACGGUACCGUAAGAAUAAGGACCGGCUAACUACGUGCCAGCAGCCGCGGUAAUACGUAGGGUCCAAGCGUUAAUCGGAAUUACUGGGCGUAAAGCGUGCGCAGGCGGUUGUGCAAGACCGAUGUGAAUUCCCCGAGCUUAACUUGGGAAUUGCAUUGGUGACUGCACGGCUAGAGUGUGUCAGAGGGGGGUGGAAUUCCACGUGUAGCAGUGAAAAGCGUGGAGAUGUGGAGGACUACCGAGGGCGAAGGCGGCCCCCUGGGAUAACACUGACGCUCAUGCACGAAAGCGUGGGGAGCAAACAGG